CAGAGCCAACAGGAUGCCACGUGG
This 24-nucleotide non-coding RNA is filed under the name Arabidopsis thaliana (thale cress). The record is from RNAcentral. Lineage: Eukaryota; Viridiplantae; Streptophyta; Magnoliopsida; Brassicales; Brassicaceae.